This 104-nucleotide small nuclear RNA is filed under the name Sciurus vulgaris (Eurasian red squirrel). The record is from RNAcentral. Lineage: Eukaryota; Metazoa; Chordata; Mammalia; Rodentia; Sciuridae.
GCGCACUUUGGCAGCACACAUACUAAAACUGGAACAAUACAGAGAAGAUUAGCACGGCCCUUGUGCAAGAUGACACGAAAGUUCAUGAAGUGCUCCAUACUUAA